Molecule: ribosomal RNA, 253 nt
Filed under: uncultured bacterium
Lineage: Bacteria
Description: partial 16S ribosomal RNA
Rfam family: Bacterial small subunit ribosomal RNA
Source: RNAcentral
UACGGGGGGGGUAAGCGUUGUUCGGAAUUACUGGGCGUAAAGGGCUCGUAGGCGGCCAACUAAGUCAUACGUGAAAUCCCUCAGCUUAACUGGAGAAGUGCCCCGGAUACUGGCUGCCUCGAGGAGGGUAGGGGCAUCUGGAACUAGCGGUGGAGCGGUGAAAUGCGUUGAUAUCGCUAGGAACUCCGGUGGCGAAGGCGAGGUGCUGGACCCUUUCUGACGCUGAGGCGCGAAAGCCAGGGGAGCGAACGGG